RNAcentral lists this ribosomal RNA (292 nucleotides) under uncultured bacterium. Its description in RNAcentral is "partial 16S ribosomal RNA". It matches the Rfam family "Bacterial small subunit ribosomal RNA", at positions 505 to 796 of the family's 1533-position model. The record is from RNAcentral.
GUGUCAGCAGCCGCGGUAAUACGUAGGGUGCGAGCGUUAAUCGGAAUUACUGGGCGUAAAGCGUGCGCAGGCGGUUGGGCAAGACCGAUGUGAAAGCCCCGGGCUUAACCUGGGAAUGGCAUUGGUGACUGCUUGGCUAGAGUGUGUCAGAGGGGGGUAGAAUUCCACGUGUAGCAGUGAAAUGCGUAGAGAUGUGGAGGAAUACCGAUGGCGAAGGCAGCCCCCUGGGAUAACACUGACGCUCAUGCACGAAAGCGUGGGGAGCAAACAGGAUUAGAUACCCUGGUAGUCC